CGAUAAGCCUGCGAUCAUGGGGCGCGCUCUGCGCGCACCGGCGGACGGCUCAGUAACACGUCGGUAACCUACCCUCGGGAGGGGGAUAACCCCGGGAAACUGGGGCUAAUCCCCCAUAGGCCUGGGGUACUGGAAGGUCCCCAGGCCGAAAGGGGCUCUGCCCGCCCGAGGAUGGGCCGGCGGCCGAUUAGGUAGUUGGUGGGGUAACGGCCCACCAAGCCGAAGAUCGGUACGGGCCAUGAGAGUGGGAGCCCGGAGAUGGACACUGAGACACGGGUCCAGGCCCUACGGGGCGCAGCAGGCGCGAAACCUCCGCAAUGCGGGCAACCGCGACGGGGGGACCCCCAGUGCCGUGGCACAGCCACGGCUUUUCCGGAGUGUAAAAAGCUCCGGGAAUAAGGGCUGGGCAAGGCCGGUGGCAGCCGCCGCGGUAAUACCGGCGGCCCAAGUGGUGGCCGCUAUUAUUGGGCCUAAAGCGUCCGUAGCCGGGCCCGUAAGUCCCUGGCGAAAUCCCACGGCUCAACCGUGGGGCUUGCUGGGGAUACUGCGGGCCUUGGGACCGGGAGAGGCCGGGGGUACCCCUGGGGUAGGGGUGAAAUCCUAUAAUCCCAGGGGGACCGCCAGUGGCGAAGCGCCCGGCUGGAACGGGUCCGACGGUGAGGGACGAAGGCCAGGGGAGCGAACCGGAUUAGAUACCCGGGUAGUCCUGGCUGUAAAGGAUGCGGCUAGUGUCGGACGAACUUCAGCUC
This 749-nucleotide ribosomal RNA is filed under the name Thermococcus sp. Dex80a71. Its description in RNAcentral is "bacterial SSU rRNA". It matches the Rfam family "Archaeal small subunit ribosomal RNA", at positions 41 to 792 of the family's 1478-position model. The record is from RNAcentral. Lineage: Archaea; Methanobacteriati; Methanobacteriota; Thermococci; Thermococcales; Thermococcaceae.